This 125-nucleotide small RNA is filed under the name Arabidopsis thaliana (thale cress). RNAcentral's name for it is "ATSL239710". Lineage: Eukaryota; Viridiplantae; Streptophyta; Magnoliopsida; Brassicales; Brassicaceae. The record is from RNAcentral.
AAAAUAAUAAUAAUUUCCCAUCAGAGUAACUAUGACAAUAUAGCAUCAUAUGGAACUGAUAAACAGAUCCAUAGCUUUCGAUAAAUAUCCUCAUUAGGAACAAAUUGCACAAAACUUUUUAACCG